CCGAGUUGUAAUUUGUAGAGGAUGCUUCGGGUGCGGCCGCGGUCUAAGUCCCCUGGAACGGGGCGUCAUAGAGGGUGAGAAUCCCGUCUUUGACCGGCCGGCCACGCCCGUGUGAAGCUCCUUCGACGAGUCGAGUUGUUUGGGAAUGCAGCUCUAAAUGGGUGGUAAAUUUCAUCUAAAGCUAAAUACUGGUCGGAGACCGAUAGCGCACAAGUAGAGUGAUCGAAAGAUGAAAAGCACUUUGAAAAGAGAGUUAAACAGCAUGUGAAAUUGUUGAAAGGGAAGCGCUUGCGAUCAGAGUCGGCCGCGGGGGCUCAGCGGGCAUUCUUUGCCCGUGCACUCCCUCGUGGCCGGGCCAGCGUCGAUUUUGACGGCCGGUCAAAGGCCCCCGGAAUGUGUCGCCUCUCGGGGCGUCUUAUAGCCGGGGGUGCAAUGCGGCCUGUCGGGAUCGAGGAACGCGCUUCGGCACGGACGCUGGCUUAAUGGUCGUAAGCGACCCGUCUUGAAACACGGACCAAGGAGUCUAACAUCCACGCGAGUGUUCGGGUGUCAAACCCGUCCGCGCAGUGAAAGCGAACGGAGGUGGGAACCCUUAAGGGUGCACCAUCGACCGAUCCUGAAGUCUUCGGAUGGAUUUGAGUAAGA
This 645-nucleotide ribosomal RNA is filed under the name Emmonsiellopsis coralliformis. RNAcentral describes it as "eukaryotic LSU rRNA". It matches the Rfam family "Eukaryotic large subunit ribosomal RNA", at positions 138 to 799 of the family's 3401-position model. The record is from RNAcentral. Lineage: Eukaryota; Fungi; Ascomycota; Eurotiomycetes; Onygenales; Ajellomycetaceae.